This 2825-nucleotide long non-coding RNA is filed under the name Marmota monax (woodchuck). The record is from RNAcentral. Lineage: Eukaryota; Metazoa; Chordata; Mammalia; Rodentia; Sciuridae.
CUCGCCUUCGGGAUGACGUCAUGAACGUCCGUGUCCCUGACAGGCCACCUGUGGGUUGGUUUCGGCUUUAAAGCAGCUGUUCUCCCCUAGCCCCCGCAGCCACGUCCACUGCGUCUACACCGGGAGAUCGUGCCGAAAUUCCAGACCUGCCUCCCACUCUAGCAGCGCGGCCACUCCUAGGAUAAGACAGACCGCCCGAGAGAGGCAAGUAUUCAAGGGGUGUUUCACAAGAUAGCUUGUCAAACCCCAUCCCUUUCUCCGCGCCCCUGCUCUGCAGCUUGCUUGGUAGCUUUCUGGGGAGCAGCAAUGGGCCGGCAGCAGGGUGGUGAGGGGACUUUCUUCCAGAAAAAAAGUGGAGAGCAAGCCAUCUUUCUCCCGGGCUGUAGCAAUCUGUGCCAGGUAAAAUUUCAGCUAAAGAUCCUGUCCAGCCCCUUCCCCAGAUUAAGGGCUACGAAUUGGAGGAGCGGCUAGCUGGAGCCGAGACUCGCUAAUCCGAACCUGGGCUGCCCGGGAGGCUGGGGGUUGGGGUGGACCGCGGAGUUUGGCAUCGCUGACGGUAAGGUGCACGCCACCAAACUGAAGGGGAGGGAAGGAGGCUCUGGAGCCUGGCAGCAGAGCGCCCCAACCUGGUGCUUGCCAAUUCGAGUUGUGGGGACAUCUAGUUCUCCUAUCCACCCGGGGGUGAAGCCGCUUUGCUGUUUGUCUUGCUCUGUGGGAGUGAGAGAAGCGGCCCCACAAGCCUCGGGAAUAUACGCCCUCGAAACCCAGCCACUCCAAGCCCUCGGUCGCCGCUGCGCUCCUGUACUCCUUGUUUCUUAGAUUCCAGGUGCAGCAGACCUGUUGCGUGAAGAAAAGCGGCCAGAUUCGGCGUUCCACAAGAUCUGUGCACCGAGAGUUCCGGGACUGUGCUUGCAAACACUCUGAAAGCUCAGAACCGACCAGGGAGGGGUGUACGUGGAUGUGGAAAGUGCUGGAAAACAAAUAGGUAAUCAUCUCGGUGCGAAGGGCCCUUCUUUCCACCCUUUGCGAUUGCAGCAAAUGAUCCCAUUAACAUGGGAAGGGAAAUGAAGCGCAGGGAAUCGCUCCCAGGGGAGCCCCAUCUGCUUAAAAAAAAAAAAUCAAAACCGCGACUAGUUCAGAUAGGUUCUCAUCCCGCUUUUCCACCCGUCGGGUUCCUGCCUGAGGUCUGAAUCUGACUGUUGAAAAUCCCUGUAACCCCUCUCCAGCGAAUCCAAUAUUCCAGUUUCAGCAUCAGGAACUGGAUAGCGCCUAAUUCCCGGAUAGCCUGGGAGGUGUUGGCACUUGACCUCGACCUCCCAGCUACUCGCUACAAUCUCUCAGACACAACCCAGAGGAGGCCAGGAGGUGAGAUAGGGCUUGCAGAGGAAGGAAGGACUUGUCUUCCUCAUUUCUCCAGGAGUUUGUGUUGGUUUCCAGGAGAUCAUUCCAUGUCCCUUUCGCUACAACCAGAGGAAAAAUUUAGCGCCAAGUGCAGGCAGUGUGGGGGAAGAAAAGGCGCGCCUGCACGCGGUGAGCACAGGAGCAAGCGAGACAGUUUAUUGGGAGCUCCAGGCGUUGGUGUUCUGUGAAAACUCGCCGCAUCUGAGUUCUUUGCCUCUCUCUCUCCCUCUCCCUCCCCACAAUCUCCGUACCCCUUGCUGGGAGUGAAUGGAGGAAAAAGCGUGGAAUAGAGAAGAUAUUGAAGCUGAGGUAAGAUGCACAUUUUAUAUGGGCGCCAACCUUUGGGUAUAGAUUAAAUUUGCCCAAAAUGAACACCAAGUUUCUUUCUUUCUUUCUUUCUUUUUUAAUCCAAUGGAGCUCCAAAUGCCCUCUGUACGAGGAUCAGAGAUGAUUGUUUUCCCAGGGAUGAAAAAAGCCGCAGAGGGGAAAAAGCUGUCACAAAAGGGCUAACGAAGGUGGGGGAGGAGAAGAGCGGACCCGACGCCCGCACUAGCGUGGUUACCAGGCAACCAACUGCAAGCCCCUGCCUCCAGUUGCCUUGGUUACAGUGAGUGGAGGGGCUUUGGCCACUGAUUAUUCAUAAGCACCUUGAUUCUUUAAAAUGUCUCCUAGGAAUCCCUGCCUUCCCCUAGCUGAGUGAAAGUCAUCACUGCUCCCACAUAAUCCACUCCCCCUCCGCCCCCACCGCACACAAGGCCGGGCCAGGGAAAUCCUGGAGGGUGAAUUUUUUCCGUUUAAUUCAAGGCGCCAGGCAAAUACCCUUGCAAUCCUUCCCACCCCACCCCACCCCACCCACGUUUCACAGAAGUAAUUGUAGCCUUCCCUGUAGUUUCUUUGGGAUUCGCAGUUUGGUUCUCAGCACCCCCUGCCCAAUUUCUUUCUUUAUACUGUAGAAGCUGAUUCCUCCCUAUCCCCCAUAGGCUUGUUCUUCAUGGGUUAAACAAGAGGGAAACAGGCAUAUUGUCCAAGGCGGUCUACUGCAGAGAGAUUUUCUCCUUGGUUUGUCAGUCAUCUCCUGCAAACACCUCUUUGCAAGGGAAGGGACCUGGAUUUUGAAUCGCCUCUCCCCACAGACCUCAAAGAAAGCACAGGGAGGUAGAAACACUUUCCUCUUAACAAGCAGUCCCUAGCAUUACUUGCACUUUGUUCAAGAUUCUCUUUUCUUUUUCCCCAGCCUUGGCUUCAUAACUAGCAAACACAGCACUUAGAGCUUCUAAUCCUCCCAUUUUUUACCUUUCCCUUAAUUGACAAAUAUUGACUCCACUUUUGACUUGUCAAUCUCACCUGCCUGUGUUCAUGUGUAACAUCUGGGUGGAAAACCAUUUUACCCAUAAUUUCACUAAAGCAAUCAUAGCAAUCUCAGA